GAUGAACGCUGGCGGCGUGCCUAAUACAUGCAAGUCGAGCGAAUGGAUUAAGAGCUUGCUCUUAUGAAGUUAGCGGCGGACGGGUGAGUAACACGUGGGUAACCUGCCCAUAAGACUGGGAUAACUCCGGGAAACCGGGGCUAAUACCGGAUAAUAUUUUGAACUGCAUGGUUCAAAAUUGAAAGGCGGCUUCGGCUGUCACUUAUGGAUGGACCCGCGUCGCAUUAGCUAGUUGGUGAGGUAACGGCUCACCAAGGCAACGAUGCGUAGCCGACCUGAGAGGGUGAGCGGCCAGACUGGGACUGAGACACGGCCCAGACUCCUACGGGAGGCAGCAGUAGGGAAUCUUCCGCAAUGGACGAAAGUCUGACGGAGCAACGCCGCGUGAGUGAGGAAGGCUUUCGGGUCGUAAAACUCUGUUGUUAGGGAAGAACAAGUGCUAGUUGAAUAAGCUGGCACCUUGACGGUACCUAACCAGAAAGCCACGGCUAACUACGUGCCAGCCGCCGCGGUAA
This 515-nucleotide ribosomal RNA is filed under the name uncultured bacterium. RNAcentral's name for it is "partial 16S ribosomal RNA". It matches the Rfam family "Bacterial small subunit ribosomal RNA", at positions 28 to 523 of the family's 1533-position model. The record is from RNAcentral.